Molecule: ribosomal RNA, 451 nt
Filed under: uncultured Latescibacterota bacterium
Lineage: Bacteria; Pseudomonadati; Candidatus Latescibacterota
Description: bacterial SSU rRNA
Rfam family: Bacterial small subunit ribosomal RNA
Source: RNAcentral
GCAUGUGGUUUAAUUCGAUUGAUACGCGAAGAAUCUUACCGGGUUUGCAUGCAGGUGAUCGCCGUUUGAAAGACGGUUUUCCUCUUUCGGAGGCACCUGCACAGGUGCUGCAUGGCUGUCGUCAGCUCGUGUCGUGAGAUGUUGGGUUAAGUCCCGCAACGAGCGCAACCCUUAUCCCCAGUUGCCAUCAGGUAAAGCUGGGAACUCUGGGGAGACUGCCGGUGAUAAACCGGAGGAAGGCGGGGAUGACGUCAAGUCCUCAUGGCCCUUACAUCCCGGGCUACACACGUGCUACAAUGGCAGGUACAGAGGGCUGCGAAGCCGCGAGGUGGAGCGAAUCCCAGAAAACCUGUCUCAGUCCGGAUUGAAGUCUGCAACUCGACUUCAUGAAGGCGGAAUCGCUAGUAACCGCGAAUCAGCAGGUCCGCGGUCGAAUACGUUCCCGGGCCUU